RNAcentral lists this ribosomal RNA (600 nucleotides) under Apostichopus parvimensis. RNAcentral describes it as "partial large subunit rRNA". The stretch from base 1 to 362 matches the Rfam family "Bacterial large subunit ribosomal RNA", at positions 2092 to 2646 of the family's 2925-position model. The record is from RNAcentral. Lineage: Eukaryota; Metazoa; Echinodermata; Holothuroidea; Aspidochirotida; Stichopodidae.
UAUCGAGCUUAAGCUAACCCUGAAAUGUCAUCUACCUUUUAUUUCUUUGAAAAAGGUAAAUUUUAGAUAAAGCUUUGGUUGGGGCAACCGUGGAGAAAAAGAAUCCUCCAGUUAAUUAGGAAGAAAACAUUUCACCUAAAAAAUUUAGCGACCCAGUCACUCUGGAAAACGGAAAAAGUUACCGCAGGGAUAACAGCGUUAUCUCCUCUAAGAGCCCAUAUUGACGAGAAGGAUUGCGACCUCGAUGUUGGAUUGGGGUAACCAAAGGGUGUAGCAGCUCUUUAAGGUUGGACUGUUCGUCCAUUAAUUCCCUACAUGAUCUGAGUUCAGACCGACGUAAGUCAGGUCAGCUUCUAUCUUCUAAAUAACCCUUCUAGUACGAAAGGACCGAAGGGAGGCCUUCAAUGACCAACGUUAAAAGGUAAAAAAAAACAAUAAAAAAAGUUAAAAAAUAAAUACCUUAGUUAAAUCCAGGGAACGUCUUAAAAUUAACACACUAGCGACUCACUUAAACCUACGCUAAAAGAAAAGUUUUUGGAUUUUACACAAGGCCCCCCCCUUAUGGUUUUUCUAGAAUUUUGGAUUUUAAGAAACAUGAAA